GUUGAUAAGGUUAAGUGAAUAAGGGCGCACGGUGGAUGCCUUGGCACUAGGAGCCGAUGAAGGACGGGACUAACACCGAUAUGCUUUGGGGAGCUGUACGUAAGCUAUGAUCCAGAGAUUUCCGAAUGGGGGAACCCAACAUCUUUAAUAGGAUGUUACGAUUGUGUGAAUACAUAGCACAUUCGAGGUAGACGCAGAGAACUGAAACAUCUAAGUACCUGCAGGAAGAGAAAGAAAAUUCGAUUCCCUGAGUAGCGGCGAGCGAAACGGGAAAAGCCCAAACCAGCAAGCUUGCUUGUUGGGGUUGUAGGACUCCAAUAUGGUAGUUCUUUCAGAUAGUCGAAUGACUUGGAAAAGUCAGUCAAAGAGGGUAAAAACCCCGUAGACGAAAUGUGGAAGACACCUAGGAGGAUCCUGAGUACGGCGGAACACGAGAAAUUCCGUCGGAAUCCGGGAGGACCAUCUCCCAAGGCUAAAUACUCCCUAGUGACCGAUAGUGAACCAGUACCGUGAGGGAAAGGUGAAAAGCACCCCGGAAGGGGAGUGAAAUAGAACCUGAAACCGUGUGCCUACAACAAGUCAAAGCCCGUUAAUGGGUGAUGGCGUGCCUUUUGUAGAAUGAACCGGCGAGUUACGAUUGCAUGCGAGGUUAAGUUGAAGAGACGGAGCCGCAGCGAAAGCGAGUCUGAAUAGGGCGUUUGAGUAUGUAGUCGUAGACCCGAAACCAUGUGAUCUACCCAUGUCCAGGUUGAAGGUGCGGUAAAACGCACUGGAGGACCGAACCCACGUACGUUGAAAAGUGCGGGGAUGAGGUGUGGGUAGCGGAGAAAUUCCAAACGAACUUGGAGAUAGCUGGUUCUCUCCGAAAUAGCUUUAGGGCUAGCCUCGGAAUUGAGAAUGAUGGAGGUAGAGCACUGUUUGGACUAGGGGCCCAUCUCGGGUUACCGAAUUCAGAUAAACUCCGAAUGCCAUUCAUUCAUAUCCGGGAGUCAGACUGUGAGUGAUAAGAUCCAUAGUCGAAAGGGAAACAGCCCAGACCACCAGCUAAGGUCCCAAAAUAUAUGUUAAGUGGAAAAGGAUGUGGGGUUGCACAGACAACUAGGAUGUUGGCUUAGAAGCAGCCACCAUUUAAAGAGUGCGUAAUAGCUCACUAGUCGAGUGACCCUGCGCCGAAAAUGUACCGGGGCUAAACAUAUUACCGAAGCUGUGGAGUACACCUUUAGGUGUAUUGGUAGGAGAGCGUUCUAAGGGCGUUGAAGGCAGAUCGUGAGGACUGCUGGAGCGCUUAGAAGUGAGAAUGCCGGUAUGAGUAGCGAAAGACAGGUGAGAAUCCUGUCCACCGAAUGACUAAGGUUUCCUGGGGAAGGCUCGUCCGCCCAGGGUUAGUCGGGACCUAAGCCGAGGCCGACAGGCGUAGGCGAUGGAUAACAGGUUGAUAUUCCUGUACCCGUUGUUUUUGUUUGAGCAAUGGAGGGACGCAGGAGGCUAAGGAAUGCAGACGAUCGGAAAUGUCUGUCCAAGCAGUAAGUCUGAAGAGGAGUCAAAUGCUUCUUUUCUUAAGGACAAGCUGUGAUGGGGAGGGAAAUAAUAGUACCGAAGUUCCUGAUGUCACACUGCCGAGAAAAGCUUCUAGUGAGAAAACAGCGGCCCGUACCGCAAACCGACACAGGUAGUCGAGGAGAGAAUCCUAAGGUGAGCGAGAGAACUCUCGUUAAGGAACUCGGCAAAAUGACCCCGUAACUUCGGGAGAAGGGGUGCUGAUCAUACGAUCAGCCGCAGUGAAUAGGCCCAAGCGACUGUUUAUCAAAAACACAGG
RNAcentral lists this ribosomal RNA (1816 nucleotides) under Vibrio cholerae. Its description in RNAcentral is "partial 23S ribosomal RNA". It matches the Rfam family "Bacterial large subunit ribosomal RNA", at positions 1 to 1819 of the family's 2925-position model. The record is from RNAcentral. Lineage: Bacteria; Pseudomonadati; Pseudomonadota; Gammaproteobacteria; Vibrionales; Vibrionaceae.